UACGGGGGGGGCAAGCGUUGUUCGGAAUUACUGGGCGUAAAGGGCUCGUAGGCGGCCAACUAAGUCAGACGUGAAAUCCCUCGGCUUAACCGGGGAACUGCGUCUGAUACUGGAUGGCUUGAGUUUGGGAGAGAGAUGCGGAAUUCCAGGUGUAGCGGUGAAAUGCGUAGAUAUCUGGAGGAACACCGGUGGCGAAGGCGGCAUCCUGGACCAACACUGACGCUGAGUGAGCGAAAGCCAGGGGAGCAAACGGG
RNAcentral lists this ribosomal RNA (254 nucleotides) under uncultured bacterium. RNAcentral's name for it is "partial 16S ribosomal RNA". It matches the Rfam family "Bacterial small subunit ribosomal RNA", at positions 524 to 776 of the family's 1533-position model. The record is from RNAcentral.